UACGGAGGGUGCGAGCGUUGUCCGGAAUCACUGGGCGUAAAGGGUGCGUAGGCGGUCGGGUAAGUCUGAUGUGAAAUCUCACAGCUUAACUGUGAAACUGCAUUGGAUACCAUCCGGCUCGAGGAAUGGAGGGGAGACUGGAAUACUUGGUGUAGCAGUGAAAUGCGUAGAUAUCAAGUGGAACACCAGUGGCGAAGGCGAGUCUCUGGACAUUUCCUGACGCUGAGGCACGAAAGCCAGGGGAGCAAACGGG
Molecule: ribosomal RNA, 253 nt
Filed under: uncultured bacterium
Lineage: Bacteria
Description: partial 16S ribosomal RNA
Rfam family: Bacterial small subunit ribosomal RNA
Source: RNAcentral